CUUAGGCAUUUUCAAUGACGCCAGAAUCUACUGCCGGUAUCCUAGCAUUUCUUCCUACCUAAUAUCUUACUGGUUCUGAUUAUAUUUUGUCAUACAUUGUUAUACUGUAAUGUUGUAAUGAGAUAUACAUUUAAAUAAUAAUAAAAAAAGAUUCUUCCUACCUAAAAAAAAAAAAAAAAGAUUCUUCCAACCUAUAGAUAUUCUUCCGAGGCUUAGUGCGCAUGCGCUGAAGAAGAAAAAAGUCAGAACGCCAGAAAGCUAGUACUCCACAGUGGAUGGAGAGUUGUGGUGGCAAUCAUGCAUUCACAAAUACAUUGGAAAGUGGCAUCUCUUCCAAACAGAAAGAUCACUUUUUAGUCAUAUCUGCAGUGUGGAAGAUGACCUCAAUGAAUCACUCCCACCAAUUUGCGAUGCUGUUCAAGAGGUACAUGAAGACUGGACGCUGUACCCUCCAGAAGACUCAAAGCUUCUCAGAAUGGUGAAAUACAUAUUCAAAAUAAAGAAGCUCCCAGCCGACCUGCUUUCAGAUGCCUGCAGUCCAUCAAAAGAAUAUCCAAGACACUUGAUUCCAAAAGAGACUGUGUGCUCAGAAUGCCCCGGAGAGACCUUUUUAAGUGAGCCACAGAUUAUUUCUUGCAAAGCCAAUAUUGUCACAAUGUCUGAUGUCAUUGAAGGUAGCAGACAGAACCCCGUUAUGUUAAGUCCUUCUUUUCAAAACUGGGCACCGUGGAUAGGACGCAACACAAGGGGCUCUAAUCUGAUUCAUAACACAGAAUACAGGAAUGUCCAGCAAGUCCAAAAUUCAGAUUAUUCAAGUGAAUUUAAUAUCACUGACGAUCACCUCACUGAUGAAUUUCUGAAACUCAAGAUGAAUGUUCUGCAUAGCCUGUGUAGACAGUGUGGUGUAGACCCAAAGGGAUCACAUAUGGACAUUAUCAUGAGGCUCCGCAAAGAGAUGCAGACCAGGGCAACAUAUGACAAGGUUUUUUCAAAGGUCUGGGGAGCCUCUGGUUGGAUGGGCUGUUGUAACGUGCCCCUGUGCAUUUGUUUACGCCAUCAAGUUCAAUCUGGGCUGAUCAGAGAGCCCAAUUGAUUUUGCAGAUCAUCUUCUCUCCUUCAAGCAUUUUCCAAACAUUACACAGUAUGACUUUGCAAGAGGGCUUGCCUGCCACACCAACCUGAGGAAACCAGUCCUUUACUCCACAUGAGGGGUGACUCUUGGAGCCCCCAGACACCAAUAUUGAACUGGCUACAUCAUGUCAUCUUAACAUAAGCUUACCAUGAAUUAAAUGUAGAAAGCCUGUACCUGACAAGAAUGGUCACCCCUUGACAGGGUCAUCAGAGCAUUAUGUUCUGUAUGACCGCUUUCAUGAGAAAAACACAAAGAAUACAAGAGAUGCUCUGCGGAAAAUUGAGCAUGUAACACAGUUGCAUGGUUGGGUCAACAGCCAGUGUGCUGAGCAGCUCUUUGCCAGCAUGAAGAAAAACAACUAUUUUCUUAACAUGAUGACACCUUCCUCUCGUUUUUUAAAUGAGAAACAUACAGUAUUAUAUGGAAUGCAACAACAAAACACUGCAAUCCAUGAGGAUGAUGGGGCAUGGGGAUAAAUAUUGUGCUGGAUUCAAAUGGUAAAACUGUAUUAGGUAUGUAUUUAAAAAGUAUGUUUUGUGAGGAGAAUUUUUAUCAUCAUUCAUUGUUAAUAUUGAGAAUGGUGGAGAAGUUGUGAUCAUUUAAAGUCAGUAAUUUGAAGUUAUUACUUUUUUGUAAUGCUGUAACAUUCUUAACAGCCUCUGCUAUGACCCCUGCACCACCUGUUGAAAGACCUUCAGAAACCUCUGAAAGAGCUCUAGAACAAACGGAACUGAGAUAGACAUGCUGAAAGAGAGAUUGAGGAAUUCCAAUUUUGAGAAGCCUUAGAACCACUGGUAAACACCUCUUAGGCCUACUCUACAGUGACUUAUGCAUAGACUGUUAAUUGUGCAGAGAAACUUUUUGAGAAAUAUGCUAAUUUUUUCAUGGUAUAACAAAAAAAGUGUUUUUUGUCUCUUCAGAAUGAUUACGUGCUGGACACCAAUAGACCAAUGGAUGAAGCAGUUGGCAUAGUAGAACCAGUAGUUCUGAUCAGAGCGGACUGUUUGGCAUUAGUUUAAAAUUGUGAACUCGAGGAAACAGUAAAUAACAAACAAAUAAUUAUAAUAUACACUCACCUAAAGGAUUAUUAGG
Paramormyrops kingsleyae is the source of this 2224-nucleotide non-coding RNA. The record is from RefSeq and is a predicted model, not a curated record. NCBI's taxonomy places the organism in Eukaryota, Metazoa, Chordata, Actinopteri, Osteoglossiformes, Mormyridae.